Molecule: long non-coding RNA, 518 nt
Filed under: Phoenix dactylifera (date palm)
Lineage: Eukaryota; Viridiplantae; Streptophyta; Magnoliopsida; Arecales; Arecaceae
Description: long non-coding RNA (PDAC_LNC022500)
Source: RNAcentral
CCAAACCAACAACAACAACAAAAAAAUAAAAAUAAAGAAAUAAAAAAUCCAGUCUUUGUUAGAAUAAUUUCAAAAUAUGGGCUUAUACUGAUUGCGUAUUUUUGUUUUAUAAAAUGGGUUAGACGUACGGCUCAAAAUGGUACUAUGAUUAAGCCCAAUAUGAUGUGUGAUCAUCUUGUUUUAUGGGCUUUAGUGCACCUUGGAUGUAUAGGAUUGAGUCCUAUUUAUUGUGGUACUUUUGAUAUGUAGGCCAGGAAACCCAAUUAGGGUUUUGGAGCCUUUAAUGGGAAGGCUCCUCUAUGUUUCCUAUAUAUAGGCUAGGUCCCCCUCUCCUCUCCAUAUGGUUGAUAGCUUGCCCCAUUGACGGCUAUCUUUUGUGAGGAGUAAGGAAGGGAAGAUCCAGCCGCUAUUAUUCCAGGUGAUUGAGGAACGUAUUCAAUAUGUCUUCCGCAGGUAUAUCUCUUAAACUUGAAUACGGUAUUAUUUGUGAUUCUAAAUCUUAGCAUGUUAUUAUUUAU